UUAAGCAUAUCAAUAAGCGGAGGAAAAGAAACUAACAAGGAUUCCCCUAGUAACUGCGAGUGAAGCGGGAAGAGCUCAAAUUUGAAAUCUGGCGGUUCUUGACCGUCCGAGUUGUAAUCUAGAGAAGUGCUACCUGUGCUGGACCGUGUACAAGUCUCCUGGAAUGGAGCAUCACAGAGGGUGAGAAUCCCGUCUUUGACACGGACUGCCUGUACGUUAUGGUGCGCUCUCGAAGAGUCGAGUUGUUUGGGAAUGCAGCUCAAAAUGGGUGGUAAAUGCCAUCUAAAGCUAAAUAUUGGCGAGAGACCGAUAGCGAACAAGUACCGUGAGGGAAAGAUGAAAAGAACUUUGGAAAGAGAGUUAAACAGUACGUGAAAUUGCUGAAAGGGAAACGCUUGAAGUCAGUCGCGUCGGCCAGAAAUCAGCCUUGCUUUUGCUUGGUGUACUUUCUUGUUGAUGGGUCAGCAUCAAUUUCGACCAUCGGAUAAAGUCGUUGGGAAUGUGGCAUCUUCGGAUGUGUUAUAGCCCAGCGUCGCAUACGGUGGUUGGGAUUGAGGAACUCAGCACGCCGCGAGGCCGGGUCUCUCGAGACCACGUCCGUGCUUAGGAUGCUGGCAUAAUGGCUUUAAUCGACCCGUCUUGAAACACGGACCAAGGAGUCUAACAUGCCUGCGAGUGUUUGGGUGGAAAACCCAUGCGCGAAAUGAAAGUGAAAGUUGAGAUCCCCCUUCUGGGGGGGAGCAUUGACGCCCGGACCAGACCUUUUGCGAAGGAUCCGCGGUAGAGCAUGUAUGUUGGGACCCGAAAGAUGGUGAACUAUGCCUGAAUAGGGUGAAGCCAGAGGAAACUCUGGUGGAGGCUCGYAGCGAUUCUGACGUGCAAAUCGAUCGUCAAAUUUGGGUAUAGGGGCGAAAGACUAAUCG
RNAcentral lists this ribosomal RNA (923 nucleotides) under Inocybe laetior. RNAcentral's name for it is "eukaryotic LSU rRNA". It matches the Rfam family "Eukaryotic large subunit ribosomal RNA", at positions 34 to 937 of the family's 3401-position model. Lineage: Eukaryota; Fungi; Basidiomycota; Agaricomycetes; Agaricales; Inocybaceae. The record is from RNAcentral.